Cucumis sativus (cucumber) is the source of this 1787-nucleotide long non-coding RNA. RefSeq lists it as uncharacterized. The transcript has 2 exons. NCBI's taxonomy places the organism in Eukaryota, Viridiplantae, Streptophyta, Magnoliopsida, Cucurbitales, Cucurbitaceae. The record is from RefSeq and is a predicted model, not a curated record.
AUAACACUUGUUUGCAAAACAGCUCUUACAAUAGAGACUCACGUAGAGCUUAACUUAAUUAUGAUCACCUAGGUUUCCGCUGGAUGUAAAACUUUCUCUCAUCGUAGACCUAGGCUCCUCCUAAGUCUGAGCUCCCCUCACACUCGACAUGUUUAGGCUCCUUUUAGAGUGGCAAUAUUAGUGAUUAUCACUGAGUGCAGCUGCAAGGUAUACAAAAUUUUCAUUCUCCUUUUUUAAUUACUUCCUUGUACUGCAUCACCUCCAUUAGUUUCAUAACAAACAAGACAAUAAUACAAGGGUGUCAAAUGAGUUAACAAUCCCGAGAAAGGAAGACAAACCAUGUUUGUUACUCUUCUACUUUCAAUUCUUCUUGGCCUUACAGCUGUCCUUUUGGCAUUUGGCCACAACAUUUGGGCUGGAUUCUUUAGUGAUAGUCCUUUUUUUUUCAUGCACAAUAUCUAGCCAAUGGUUCAUCUUCUUCCUCUCAUCCAUUUCAAUUUUUUUCCACAAAUCAGCACUUCAAAACCCAUUUACACAGAAAGAGCCAAGUCCUCCCAUAUGUAUAUAUUUUAUCUUAUAACUAGGCCAAUUUCCAAAUUUUGAGGCACCCUAUAUAAGUUUGAUCAUCCUCAUGUCUUCUUCCUCACGCUCAUACUCGGUCAUUAUACAAUUUCCUCAGGGAAAAUGACUUGGUUUCUUGGUUUUCUCUUUCUCUAUUUCUUACUUCUUUUGCUAAUGCUUGCUGUGUUUAUCAGUCUAAAGCUAGCCACCUUUAUGAUUCACCUACUACAUGUAUAUAUAUAUAUUUCUAUUAUAUCUUUUACCUUUUUUCAGAAUAAUAAUAAUUGCAUGAAGGAUUUUGUCAUAUGAUUAUUAUUGGUUUCUCUUAUGUUAUGGCAAUGUGGCCUUGCAAUUCUCUAAUGGCUUCUUUGCAGCUGUUGUGCCUUCCCUGAUUUAUGCGUCUAUUUGAUACAACACACAAGGCAGCAAGUAUAAAAAGUUACAAGUUUAGUCAAUGGACAUUCAAACUAAUUUAUGCAUCUAUUUGAUCCCUAAAAUUUUAAUUUGUUGUUUGAUACGUCUUGAGCAUUCAAUUUUAUGUUUAUAGUUUUUUUUAGACAUGUUAGGUAAUUAUUUUGCUUUUAAACUUAGAUCUAUCAACGUUCAUUCCACCUCAAUUUUUUUUUUUUUUUUUUGCUUUUUGUGUUUGUCUAAUUUUUACCAAUGUUCUCAAAAUCGAAGUCAAAUUUUAAAACAAAAAAAAGAUUUCUAAAAAAGUUUCAGUUUUUAGAUUUUGAAUAAAAAAUUAACUUUUAUACUUAAAAAAAAAAGAGAAAAAACAAAAUUGUUGCAAACAUAUAUUGAAUGGAUCUUUCAUAUUCAAAUUUCUAAAAAAAUUAACUUUUGAUUUUUAGUAAUGUGAAUAAUGUUUGGAUUUGUGUUUGUGGUAUUGGCGAAUGAUUGGAGAUCGCGGGAGGUAUGCUAUGGGUUUCACUUUUGUUUGGCGGAAGAAUAAUUGAAGUCAUAUCUGAUUGAAAGCUAAGUGAUUGUGUAGACAACCAGACGAUCGUUGAAGGUUGAAGACUGAGAAGACGUUCAAGAUUUAUUAUUUAAUACAAAAGACUGAGAAGACGUUCAAGAUUUAUUAUUUAUGUCUUGUAUUAAGAUCUUGUUUCAUGUACUCAUGUAAAAUAUAUACAUAAAAACAAUAUUAAGAUUUCAUUUUGUGUAUACAAACAUGUAAAAGACAAAUAUUAUAAUUUCUACAUGAAUAUUAAAUUUAUUGA